RNAcentral lists this long non-coding RNA (259 nucleotides) under Gossypium barbadense (sea-island cotton). RNAcentral's name for it is "long non-coding RNA (GBAR_LNC011543)". The record is from RNAcentral. Lineage: Eukaryota; Viridiplantae; Streptophyta; Magnoliopsida; Malvales; Malvaceae.
AGAGUAGCAGUUGGUGGGUUGAGUAGUCUCCUCAAAUGGGCUUGCAUACAUCCAUUAAUAAUGCAGGUGGUAUUGAUUUGGGCCUAUGGGCCAUAUCGUUUACAGUAAAGGCUUCGACCCAGUGAUAUGAUAAUGAAAAGGCUUCGGCCCAGUGACAUGAAUAAUGCAAAGGCUUCGGCCCAGUAUAUGUUGGGAUUGAAGUUGGGCUUAGGCCCAGCGGGCUGAUAUUAUUUUGGGCUCUAAAAGGGGCUUGUUGCAC